This 252-nucleotide ribosomal RNA is filed under the name uncultured bacterium. RNAcentral's name for it is "partial 16S ribosomal RNA". It matches the Rfam family "Bacterial small subunit ribosomal RNA", at positions 524 to 776 of the family's 1533-position model. The record is from RNAcentral.
UACGUAGGGGGCUAGCGUUGUCCGGAAUCAUUGGGCGUAAAGAGCGUGUAGGCGGUCCGGUAAGUCCGCUGUGAAAGUCGGGGGCUCAACCUCGAAUGCCGGUGGAUACUGUCGGGCUAGAGUGCGGAAGAGGCGAGUGGAAUUCCUGGUGUAGCGGUGAAAUGCGCAGAUAUCAGGAAGAACACCCGUGGCGAAGGCGGCUCUCUGGGACGGUACUGACGCUGAGACGCGAAAGCGUGGGGAGCGAACAGG